This is an unclassified non-coding RNA of Pongo abelii (Sumatran orangutan), 138 nucleotides long. It matches the Rfam family "Metazoan signal recognition particle RNA". Rfam says of the family: The signal recognition particle (SRP) is a universally conserved ribonucleoprotein. The record is from Ensembl. NCBI's taxonomy places the organism in Eukaryota, Metazoa, Chordata, Mammalia, Primates, Hominidae.
GCCGGGCAUGGUGGCGCAUGCCUGUAAUCCCAGCUGCUCGGGAGGCUGAGGCAGGAGAAUCACUUGAACUCGGGAAGCAGAGGCUGUGGUGAGCCGAGAUAGCACUAGCCUGGGUGACAGAGUGAGACUCUGUCUCAA